UGAGGCGGAUUGGAGGGCAGAGCGGCGGCGUCCGCGGGGCGGGCGGGGUCGUCCCGGCUCCGGGCAUCCUCCGUCUCUCCCCCUCCCCCCCGCGCCCGGUGGCCCUCCUGUCUGCUUUUCAUCCUGCGAUACAAAGCCAUUUCCUCUGCGUCCUCCGGCCGCUACCAUCUGUCACCAUGCAAUGCUAUUACUGUUCCAUGGACUAUAUUUAAUUGUGUGAUCCAUAAAAAAGUGGUGCCAUCUCUUUGAAAAUGGAAGAAGUCAGUGGAGAGAAUUACAGUGCUGUGUCUUUUAAUGACUAAUAAAGAAUGUAUCAGUGAUACGCCCUUAAAAGGAA
Suricata suricatta (meerkat) is the source of this 337-nucleotide long non-coding RNA. RefSeq lists it as uncharacterized. The transcript is spliced from 3 exons. The record is from RefSeq and is a predicted model, not a curated record. NCBI's taxonomy places the organism in Eukaryota, Metazoa, Chordata, Mammalia, Carnivora, Herpestidae.